This 387-nucleotide ribosomal RNA is filed under the name uncultured bacterium. RNAcentral's name for it is "bacterial SSU rRNA". It matches the Rfam family "Bacterial small subunit ribosomal RNA", at positions 28 to 417 of the family's 1533-position model. The record is from RNAcentral.
GACGAACGCUGGCGGCGUGCUUAACACAUGCAAGUCGAGCGGUAAGGCCCUUUCGGGGGUACACGAGCGGCGAACGGGUGAGUAACACGUGGGUGACCUGCCCUCAGCUCUGGGAUAAGCCUGGGAAACCGGGUCUAAUACUGGAUAUGACUCCAUGACGCAUGUUGUGGGGUGGAAAGCCUUGUGCGGCUGAGGAUGGGCCCGCGGCCUAUCAGCUUGUUGGUGGGGUGAUGGCCUACCAAGGCGACGACGGUAGCCGGCCUGAGAGGGCGACCGGCCACACUGGGACUGAGACACGGCCCAGACUCCUACGGGAGGCAGCAGUGGGGAAUCUUGCGCAAUGGGCGAAAGCCUGACGCAGCGACGCCGCGUGAGGGAUGACGGCCU